UACGUAGGAGGCGAGCGUUGUCCGGAGUUACUGGGCGUAAAGGGUGCGUAGGCGGCCGCGCGCGUGGGGGGUGAAAUCUCUCGGCUUACCCGGGAGGGGGCUUUCCAGACGGCGUGGCUUGAGGGACGGAGAGGGGCGUGGAAUUCCGGGUGGAGCGGUGAAAUGCGUAGAGAUCCGGAGGAACACCGAUGGCGAAGGCAGCCCCCUGGGCUAACACUGACGCUCAGGCACGAAAGCGUGGGGAGCAAACAGG
RNAcentral lists this ribosomal RNA (253 nucleotides) under uncultured bacterium. RNAcentral describes it as "partial 16S ribosomal RNA". It matches the Rfam family "Bacterial small subunit ribosomal RNA", at positions 524 to 776 of the family's 1533-position model. The record is from RNAcentral.